This 468-nucleotide ribosomal RNA is filed under the name uncultured bacterium. Its description in RNAcentral is "partial 16S ribosomal RNA". It matches the Rfam family "Bacterial small subunit ribosomal RNA", at positions 28 to 507 of the family's 1533-position model. The record is from RNAcentral.
GACGAACGCUGGCGGCGUGCUUAACACAUGCAAGUCGAACGGAAAGGCCCUGCUUUUGUGGGGUGCUCGAGUGGCGAACGGGUGAGUAGCACGUGAGUAACCUGCCCUUGACUUUGGGAUAACUUCAGGAAACUGGGGCUAAUACCGGAUAGGAGCUCCUGCUGCAUGGUGGGGGUUGGAAAGUUUUGGCGGUUGGGGAUGGACUCGCGGCUUAUCAGCUUGUUGGUGGGGUAGUGGCUUACCAAGGCUUUGACGGGUAGCCGGCCUGAGAGGGUGACCGGCCACAUUGGGACUGAGAUACGGCCCAGACUCCUACGGGAGGCAGCAGUGGGGAAUAUUGCACAAUGGGCGGAAGCCUGAUGCAGCAACGCCGCGUGCGGGAUGACGGCCUUCGGGUUGUAAACCGCUUUCGCCUGUGACGAAGCGUGAGUGACGGUAAUGGGUAAAGAAGCACCGGCUAACUACGUG